UUCCUAAUUUUAUGUGUUCAUAGUUUCCUUAUAGUUGAUGGGUAUACAACUUGGGACGUGUUUGUACCAACCAGCAGAAGAAAAUUUUUCACAGAAGAAAAUGAUUUGAGGCCAAACACAACUGGAAAUGCAUCUUUUAGACAUGACCUUAGAAUAUCGUUGGAAAUUAUUUGGUUUGAAUUUGGUCUAUUUAUAUCUUCAUGGAUUAUGUAGCAGGGCUAUUAAUAAUGUUUAAACCUCUUAUUUCACUAGAGUGGUGAGACUUUUUAUUCCUUUUCAAUUAGUGUUUUUGUCUUAACUAUUAUAUGAUCAUAUUCAUGCUAAUUAUAAUACAGAUGAACUGUUUUUAAUGCCAGUAUGAAGGAUUAAGAACAACAUUCAAUUAAUUGAUAUGUCAGGCUUUAUCGUGCGUGGUAAAAUUUCAGGGGAUGUGAUUUGAUCUAGAAUCUAUCCAAAUCCUUAUGAGGUUUAGUUGUGACAGGAUUCUAUUAUUUUUAACCACGAGUAGUGUUUGUUUCUCCCUAUGUUAAGAAUGUUAAUAUUUUGGAUUUUAAGUGUCCAGGUUAUAAGCAGGAUUUACCUAUGCAAGAUAAAUUCUAACUGUGCAACAUUUUUAUGAAAAUUAAAAGUAUUGUUUUAAGAGGGAGACCCUCUGAAUGUUUCUAUAUGCAAGUGCCUAGCUGAAGAACCAUAGAAACAAUAAACUUAAAAGCUCUUAAAUAAGUAAACUAUAACUGAUUGAAUAUUAACCAAAUAUAAAGCAGGAAUAACUUACAUUACUUUUUGGUUGCUAUAACUAAUACCCUAAAAACUAAGAGUUGUGAAUAGGGGAAAAAAACGAAUGUUUAAUUGACAUGGAAAUUGAUUUUUAUUACAUUUGCAUCUAUUUUCUAAGAUUGCCAAUUAGAAUUAAAAAAAAAACUAACAUAGACCUUAUGGCACUUAAGCCCCAAAUACUUUGUACAAUUGAUUGAAUGGCUCACUUAAAUGUAUUGAAUUUCCUUUUACUCUUAAAAUGUACUUCCUUUUAGAAUUACCCCAUUUUAAAUGGGUAACUUUCAGAUUCUGAACUUAGUAUUUUUCCCAAGCGUUCCAGGGUUGCAUUAUAAAAGAUCAAAAGAUUUCCAGGUAGUAAUACAAUUUUCUUUAAAACAUGGACACUUUAACUGUUAGGUUUAACAUUAAUGUUAGUAUUUUUACAAUAAAUCACAGAAAACAAUAAUGGUUUUCAUUAAAAACUUUUUCAAAUAUUUUAUCCUCAGUUUGAUUGCAAACACUUUCCUCCAUUAUUUGUGAUAUAUCCUUCUGUUUAAUUUUUUCCUUCUAGCAUAAUGUUUAGGAAA
This 1343-nucleotide long non-coding RNA is filed under the name Equus caballus (horse). Its description in RNAcentral is "lncRNA (ENSECAG00000045415.1)". The record is from RNAcentral. Lineage: Eukaryota; Metazoa; Chordata; Mammalia; Perissodactyla; Equidae.